Cryptomeria japonica (Japanese cedar) is the source of this 833-nucleotide long non-coding RNA. RefSeq lists it as uncharacterized. Lineage: Eukaryota; Viridiplantae; Streptophyta; Pinopsida; Cupressales; Cupressaceae. The transcript has 4 exons. The record is from RefSeq and is a predicted model, not a curated record.
GCGAUCCUAUUAUUAUUUCAUUUAUAAAUUUAAGAUUUUUUUGAAAUAAAAACACUUUGAAUCGGCUUGAACGUUGUUGCUUUAUUACAUAGAGCUUGGAGCGUGGACGUUGCUGCUUUAUUACACAAAACUUGGAGCGGGUGCGUUGGAGCCUAAUGCCAGCUAGGCUAGCCGUUGGGAGAUUCAUACACAUCUUACAGGAAGGAUUCAUACAAAGAUCUAUAAUUAGAGGCAAUCGGGAGAUUCAUACAUUCGUAGGCUCCAACUGAAGGAAAAAGGAGGGGCAAAUAAAAUCAGGGCAAGAGAGGGAAGAGGAUUUGUGGCAGGGAUUGGCAGUGGGACUGGGCACUCCAUUUGUAGUGUAACAUUGGGCAAAAGAGGGUUUGUGUUCUAAUUGUUGAUCCAAACAUGCAAUGAAAUUCUUGGUUCGUGGUUAAAGGACUUUACAGUGAGUUGUUUGCGAUCAAUCAGCUUCAAGUAGCUAUUUAUACAGCCAUUGGGGGAUUCAUACAUUUGAAGCCUCCAACUGAAGGAAAAAGAAGAGGCGAAUAAAAUCAGAGCAAGAUAGUGAGCUGGUUGUGAUCGAUCAGUGGCAAUUUAAAAAAAAAAGUUUGAACAAGUGAGAACUUGAACACACAAAAUUCAUUGGAGGAUUUUGUACAUGAAAGUGAGAACUUGAACAUGAAGACUUCAAAGAAGGGAUCAACUUAUGAUAUUGUUUAAUACUGGAAUGGAAGUACAAAAUAUGUAACAUUUCAUUUGAAUUGAUUAUUUUUAUUUAUUGUAAACAUUCCACAACAAUUAUAAUUAAUAAAGAUAUACCAUUUUUUUGA